GACGAACGCUGGCGGCGUGCUUAACACAUGCAAGUCGAACGGAAAGGCCCUGCUUUUGUGGGGUGCUCGAGUGGCGAACGGGUGAGUAACACGUGAGUAACCUGCCCUUGACUUUGGGAUAACUUCAGGAAACUGGGGCUAAUACCGGAUAGGAGCUCCUGCUGCAUGGUGGGGGUUGGAAAGUUUCGGCGGUUGGGGAUGGACUCGCGGCUUAUCAGCUUGUUGGUGGGGUAGUGGCUUACCAAGGCUUUGACGGGUAGCCGGCCUGAGAGGGUGACCGGCCACAUUGGGACUGAGAUACGGCCCAGACUCCUACGGGAGGCAGCAGUGGGGAAUAUUGCACAAUGGGCGGAAGCCUGAUGCAGCAACGCCGCGUGCGGGAUGACGGCCUUCGGGUUGUAAACCGCUUUCGCCUGUGACGAAGCGUGAGUGACGGUAAUGGGUAAAGAAGCACCGGCUAACUACGUGCCAGCAGCCGCGGUGAUACGUAGGGUGCGAGCGUUGUCCGGAUUUAUUGGGCGUAAAGGGCUCGUAGGUGGUUGAUCGCGUCGGAAGUGUAAUCUUGGGGCUUAACCCUGAGCGUGCUUUCGAUACGGGUUGACUUGAGGAAGGGUAGGGGAGAAUGGAAUUCCUGGUGGAGCGGUGGAAUGCGCAGAUAUCAGGAGGAACACCAGUGGCGAAGGCGGUUCUCUGGGCCUUUCCUGACGCUGAGGAGCGAAAGCGUGGGGAGCGAACAGGCUUAGAUACCCUGGUAGUCCACGCUGUAAACGGUGGGUACUAGGUGUGGGGUCCAUUCCACGGGUUCCGUGCCGUAGCUAACGCUUUAAGUACCCCGCCUGGGGAGUACGGCCGCAAGGCUAAAACUCAAAGGAAUUGACGGGGCCCCGCACAAGCGGCGGAGCAUGCGGAUUAAUUCGAUGCAACGCGUAGAACCUUACCUGGGUUUGACAUGGAUCGGGAGUGCUCAGAGAUGGGUGUGCCUCUUUUGGGGUCGGUUCACAGGUGGUGCAUGGCUGUCGUCAGCUCGUGUCGUGAGAUGUUGGGUUAAGUCCCGCAACGAGCGCAACCCUUGUUCACUGUUGCCAGCACGUUAUGGUGGGGACUCAGUGGAGACCGCCGGGGUCAACUCGGAGGAAGGUGGGGAUGACGUCAAGUCAUCAUGCCCCUUAUGUCCAGGGCUUCACGCAUGCUACAAUGGCUGGUACAGAGAGUGGCGAGCCUGUGAGGGUGAGCGAAUCUCGGAAAGCCGGUCUCAGUUCGGAUUGGGGUCUGCAACUCGACCUCAUGAAGUCGGAGUCGCUAGUAAUCGCAGAUCAGCAACGCUGCGGUGAAUAAAUUCCCGGG
Molecule: ribosomal RNA, 1344 nt
Filed under: uncultured bacterium
Lineage: Bacteria
Description: 16S ribosomal RNA
Rfam family: Bacterial small subunit ribosomal RNA
Source: RNAcentral